Molecule: long non-coding RNA, 256 nt
Filed under: Vitis vinifera (wine grape)
Lineage: Eukaryota; Viridiplantae; Streptophyta; Magnoliopsida; Vitales; Vitaceae
Description: long non-coding RNA (VVIN_LNC008009)
Source: RNAcentral
GAGUUACAAGCUUCAAGAUUAAAAUGUAUAAAAGAAAACUCCUUCGAUCUAGGAUUGAGUUGCUCAAGCCCUCAAUUGGCAUUGUUCAAGUUAUGUCAAGGCAAUCAAGCCAAAGCUCAAGUCACACCAAUACCUAAUUCACGCCAAAGUCCAAGUCAAGCCAAAAUCCAAAUCACACCAAGGUCCAAGUCAAGACAAGGUGCAAAUCAUGCCAAGACUCAAGUCAAGUCAACUCUCAAAAUUAAAUCAAGUUAAG